RNAcentral lists this ribosomal RNA (386 nucleotides) under uncultured bacterium. RNAcentral's name for it is "bacterial SSU rRNA". It matches the Rfam family "Bacterial small subunit ribosomal RNA", at positions 28 to 417 of the family's 1533-position model. The record is from RNAcentral.
GACGAACGCUGGCGGCGUGCUUAACACAUGCAAGUCGAGCGGUAAGGCCCUUUCGGGGGUACACGAGCGGCGAACGGGUGAGUAACACGUGGGUGACCUGCCCUCAGCUCUGGGAUAAGCCUGGGAAACCGGGUCUAAUACUGGAUAUGACUCCAUGACGCAUGUUGUGGGUGAAAGCCUUGUGCGGCUGAGGAUGGGCCCGCGGCCUAUCAGCUUGUUGGUGGGGUGAUGGCCUACCAAGGCGACGACGGGUAGCCGGCCUGAGAGGGCGACCGGCCACACUGGGACUGAGACACGGCCCAGACUCCUACGGGAGGCAGCAGUGGGGAAUCUUGCGCAAUGGGCGAAAGCCUGACGCAGCGACGCCGCGUGAGGGAUGACGGCCU